Molecule: unclassified non-coding RNA, 2853 nt
Filed under: uncultured fungus
Lineage: Eukaryota; Fungi
Description: sequence contains 18S rRNA gene, ITS1, 5.8S rRNA gene, ITS2, 28S rRNA gene
Rfam family: Bacterial large subunit ribosomal RNA (bases 461-2853)
Source: RNAcentral
GGCUGGAUCACCUCCUUUCUAAGGUGUCAUUGACACAACCAAAAAUAACCUGCUUUAGGUUCGCUAUUUAGUUUUGAGAGAGCAAGGUCGUUCAACAGGCCGUAUAAGAGGAGAAGGUUCCCGAUUCAGUCUAUGUCCCGGUGAUUUUAGGCUGAUUUUCUUUCUCAAAAGUGGGAAGACUGAAAAAGGGCUAUAGCUCAGUUCCGGUCAGAGCGCACGCCUGAUAAGCGUGAGGUCGUUGGUUCGAUCCCAACUAGGCCCACCAGCAAAAAUCGGGGGUGUAGCUCAGUUGGGAGAGCGCCUGCUUUGCACGCAGGAGGUCAUCGGUUCGAAUCCGUUCACCUCCACCAGUUCUCGAAAAGUUUGGAAAGUUUGGACCGGUGUGGUCCAAAGCUCUUUGAAAAGUGAAGUGUUCUCAAGAAAGUAGUAAAAGGGAAAAAUCCUUGUUGUAAAGGCUUAUGGUCAAGCAACAAAGGGCGCACGGUGGAUGCCUUGGCGUUGGAAGGCGAUGAAGGACGUGGCUAGCUGCGAUAUGCUUCGGGGAGCUGCUAACAGGCUUUGAUCCGGAGAUUUCCGAAUGGGGCAACCCAUCCAGGGGUAAUGCCUGGAUAUCCGUCACUGAAUACAUAGGUGGCGGAGGCGAACGAGGUGAACUGAAACAUCUAAGUACCCUCAGGAAGAGAAAUCAAUUGAGAUUCCCUCAGUAGCGGCGAGCGAACGGGGAAGAGCCCAAACCGAUGACGUGUUCAAGCCGGCAAGCGUUGCGGCAUCGGGGUUGUGGGGCUGAAUCGGAGGUGGUUGCCGCCACUUCGGCAAGUCACAAAACUUGACGUUAGUCGAAGCGUCUGGAAAGUCGCAUCAUAGAAGGUGACAGUCCUGUAGGCGAAAGCGUCAAGUCUUGCUGGGUUCAGAUCCCGAGUACCACGGGGCACGUGAAACCUUGUGGGAAUCUGGGAGGACCAUCUUCCAAGGCUAAAUACUAACCAACGACCGAUAGUGAACUAGUACCGUGAGGGAAAGGUGAAAAGUACGGGGUGACCGAGUGAAAUAGUACCUGAAACCGUGCGCUUACAAGCUGUGGAAGGGCGAUAACAAGUUUCGGCUUGUUCGCCUGACUGCGUGCCUUUUGCAUAAUGAGUCAGCGACUUACUCUUGGUGGCGAGGUUAAGCCGAAAGGUGUAGCCGGAGCGAAAGCGAGUCUGAAUAGGGCGUAUUAGUCGCCGGGAGUAGACCCGAAGCCGGGUGAUCUAUCCAUGGCCAGGGUAAAGUCCGGGUAACACCGGAUGGAGGCCCGAACCAGUUAACGUUGAAAAGUUAUUGGAUGAGCUGUGGAUAGGAGUGAAAGGCUAAUCAAACCCGGAAAUAGCUGGUUCUCCCCGAAAUAUAUUGAGGUAUAGCCUCGCAUGAUGAGUAGCGGAGGUAGAGCACUGAAUGGGCUAGGGGUCUCACAAGAUUACCAAACCCAAUCAAACUCCGAAUGCCGCUAGCUUUAGUGCGGGAGUCAGUCUACGGGUGAUAAGAUCCGUGGGCGAGAGGGAAAGAUCCAGAUCGCCGGCUAAGGUCCCCAAAUUUGUGCUAAGUGGGAAAGGAUGUGGAAACGCCCAGACAGCCAGGAGGUUGGCUUAGAAGCAGCCAUCCUUUAAAGAAAGCGUAAUAGCUCACUGGUCGAGUGGGUCUGCGCCGAAAAUUUAACGGGGCUUAAGCACGAUACCGAAGCCGCGGGAUCAAUAUUUAUAUUGAUCGGUAGGGGAGCAUUGUCGUAACCGCUUGAAGGCAUACCGUAAGGAGUGCUGGAGGACCGACAAGAGAUUAUGCUGACAUGAGUAGCGAUAAAGGGGGCGAGAAACCCCCUCGCCGUAAGCCUAAGGUUUCCUGGGUAAAGUUAAUCUUCCCAGGGUUAGUCGAUCCCUAAGCCGAGGCCGAAAGGCGUAGGCGAUGGAAAGCAGGUUGAUAUUCCUGCACCACCUGGUGCGCAGUGACCGAUGGAGGGACGCAGGAGGGUAGGCCAUCCGGGUGUUGGACGUCCCGGUUCAAGCCUGUAGGCGGGAGAUUUAGGCAAAUCCGGAUCUCUGUUAACGCUGAGAGGUUAUGAGGAGGGCUUUUAGCCCAUAAACUGGUUAAUCCCAUGCUGCCAAGAAAAGCUUCUAGGUAGUUCAUCAGGUGAUCGUACUGGAAACCGACACAGGUAGGCAGGGAGAGUAUCCCAAGGCGCUUGAGAGAACCCUGGUUAAGGAACUCGGCAAAAUGACACCGUAACUUCGGGAGAAGGUGUGCCCUCAUUAGGUGAAGGACUUCGCGUCCGGAGCUGAAGGGGGUUGCAGUGAAAUGGGGGUGGCGACUGUUUACUAAAAACACAGGACUCUGCGAAGCCGCAAGGCGAUGUAUAGGGUCUGACGCCUGCCCGGUGCCGGAACGUUAAGGGAGGGGUCAUCUGGGCAACUGGAGAAGCUCUGAACCGAAGCGCCGGUAAACGGCGGCCGUAACUAUAACGGUCCUAAGGUAGCGAAAUUCCUUGUCGGUAAGUUCCGACCUGCACGAAUGGCGUAACGAUCUCCCCACUGUCUCAACCAGGGACUCAGCGAAAUUGUAUUCGCGGUGAAGAUGCCGCGUUCCCGCAACUAGACGGAAAGACCCCGUGCACCUUUACUAUAGCUUGGCAUUGAAUUUUGGGCUAACUUGUGUAGGAUAGGUGGGAGGCUAUGAAAUUCGGACGCUAGUUCGGAUGGAGCCAACCUUGAAAUACCACCCUGGUUAGUUUAGAGUUCUAACUCAGGCCCGUUAUCCGGGUCGAGGACACUGGCCUGGCGGUAGUUUGACUGGGGCGGUCGCCUCCAAAAAAGUAACGGAGGCGCG